This is a long non-coding RNA of Pseudoliparis swirei, 498 nucleotides long. RefSeq lists it as uncharacterized. NCBI's taxonomy places the organism in Eukaryota, Metazoa, Chordata, Actinopteri, Perciformes, Liparidae. The transcript is spliced from 2 exons. The record is from RefSeq and is a predicted model, not a curated record.
UCCAGCGGGAGUCCACGUCCACGGAGUAAACAAAGCUGCAGGGGACACAAAGCAGGAAGCAGGUCAGCACGGCGCCACAAGAACAAAGCGAACGACCGACCGGGAGGUCAUUGGGUUUAAUUAAUCCUCCGGUAAAUGUUUGCCGCUGUGGCUGUCGAGAAGCUUUGGUACAGAGGAACGUCUUUGUAUCCGUUUAUAAGCCGCUGUGACCUGGAACUCUUCAGAACUACCAACGCGCACGAGGUGGAAACCACUUCAAACAAAGCACUGUGAAGGCGUGACACACUUUCAUCUGCCGAAUGGACCCCCUCCCCCACCCCCGGGUGUUUACACGAGGACAUUAGUCAAAUAAAAAAAAGUUCCAUAUUUACUAGUGGGCACAAACCCAAACUGUCCUCACCUGCAACAGUUAGCUAUCGUUCCCUUUAGCAGCGCUAAAAACGUCUUAAUAAUAAUUCUGAUUAAAAGAAAACAGACGCAAAAAAGGUCUGAAAUGAA